RNAcentral lists this transfer RNA (73 nucleotides) under Ailuropoda melanoleuca (giant panda). It matches the Rfam family "tRNA". Rfam says of the family: Transfer RNA (tRNA) molecules are approximately 80 nucleotides in length. Their secondary structure includes four short double-helical elements and three loops (D, anti-codon, and T loops). Lineage: Eukaryota; Metazoa; Chordata; Mammalia; Carnivora; Ursidae. The record is from Rfam by way of RNAcentral.
GCCUGGCUGGCUUACUCAGUAGAGCACAAGACUCUUGAUCUUGGGGUCAUGAGUUCAAGCCCCAUGUUGGGCA